Acanthopagrus latus (yellowfin seabream) is the source of this 546-nucleotide long non-coding RNA. RefSeq lists it as uncharacterized. The transcript is spliced from 3 exons. NCBI's taxonomy places the organism in Eukaryota, Metazoa, Chordata, Actinopteri, Spariformes, Sparidae. The record is from RefSeq and is a predicted model, not a curated record.
GGAGCCAUUAUGUUCUUUGGGCAUUUGCAUCUCUCAGGGGCAAGUGUUAAAGGUGGCUCGUCGGUCGGUGGACUGAAGGAUCCUGACGCCACGUGUGAAGAGUCAGCGUCCCUCACCGGCGCUCCUGCCGGGAUGUGAGGAAACACACGAUGAGUCAUAACUUAUAGAGAACAUUGAAUCCAGUUACAGGCAGCAGAAGAGCAUUUGGAUGGAUUCACACAGCAAAAGUGAUCACGUUCAGUUUUGGAUAUCUUGAUGAGCAACAUGACCCUCAACAGCCAGUUUUCAUUUUGAUGUUUAAUGCUACAUUUCUGUGCGAUUUAAAAAUUAUAUGUGUCAUAAAAUUGCAAAUUAUAAACUAACUUUUUUUUUUUUUCCUGUGUGUGACUAACCACUUCGGUCUGUAUUAGAACUGGUCAAUUAGAUUUUCCCAGCGCCCACAUAAUGCUGCUGCCUGCUAAGUAUUCCCCAAAUUGGAUAAGAAUAAAGUAUUUAAGGUGGUUUGGAAGGAAUAAGGAGAUCAUUGUAACUCAAAAUACCAACACA